RNAcentral lists this ribosomal RNA (480 nucleotides) under uncultured bacterium. RNAcentral describes it as "bacterial SSU rRNA". It matches the Rfam family "Bacterial small subunit ribosomal RNA", at positions 148 to 623 of the family's 1533-position model. The record is from RNAcentral.
GUUCGGAAACGGACGCUAAUACCGCAUACGUCCUACGGGAGAAAGCAGGGGACCUUCGGGCCUUGCGCUAUCAGAUGAGCCUAGGUCGGAUUAGCUAGUUGGUGGGGUAAUGGCUCACCAAGGCGACGAUCCGUAACUGGUCUGAGAGGAUGAUCAGUCACACUGGAACUGAGACACGGUCCAGACUCCUACGGGAGGCAGCAGUGGGGAAUAUUGGACAAUGGGCGAAAGCCUGAUCCAGCCAUGCCGCGUGUGUGAAGAAGGUCUUCGGAUUGUAAAGCACUUUAAGUUGGGAGGAAGGGUUGUAGAUUAAUACUCUGCAAUUUUGACGUUACCGACAGAAUAAGCACCGGCUAACUCUGUGCCAGCAGCCGCGGUAAUACAGAGGGUGCAAGCGUUAAUCGGAAUUACUGGGCGUAAAGCGCGCGUAGGUGGUUUGUUAAGUUGGAUGUGAAAUCCCCGGGCUCAACCUGGGAACUG